Molecule: long non-coding RNA, 597 nt
Organism: Homo sapiens (human)
Lineage: Eukaryota; Metazoa; Chordata; Mammalia; Primates; Hominidae
Gene: TPRXL
Product: tetrapeptide repeat homeobox like (pseudogene)
Source: Ensembl
AGAGUCUCGCUCUGUCGCCCAGGCUGGCAGCCUCCCUAGUAGCUGGGACUACAGGCACCUGCCACCACGCCUAGCUAAUUUUUUGUAUUUUUUUAGUAGAGACGGGGUUUCACUGUGUUAGCCAGGUCUCCAUCUCCUGACCUCGUGAUCUGCCUGCCUCGGCAUCCCAAAGUGCUGGGAUUACAGACAGAGUCUUGCCCUGUUGCCCAGGCUGGAGUAUAGUAGUGCAGUGGUGUGAUCAUAGCUCACUGUAACUUCGACCACCUGGGCUCAAACAAUCCUUCUUCCUCUGCCUCCCAAGUAGCUGGGACUACAGAGCAGGACCCAGGAUGCAAGACCCUAGGCAUCCCCAAGGCCUUCCACUGUCCCCAGGCCUUCCAAAGAGACAGCGGCAGGACCGCACAAUCUACAACUGGAAACAGCAGGAAGUGCUAGAAAAUCACUUUAAGGAGGAACAGUACCCAGACUAUGACACACGACAAGAGCUGGCGGAGAUGCUCAAUCUCAGGGAGUACCAAGUGCAGGUGUGGUUCAAGAAUCGCCGGGCCAAACGCUCUCGGGAGCGGUGGUUCCAGAAGCAGCUCCAGCAGCUCCAGA